This 213-nucleotide long non-coding RNA is filed under the name Elaeis guineensis (African oil palm). RNAcentral describes it as "long non-coding RNA (EGUI_LNC034012)". The record is from RNAcentral. Lineage: Eukaryota; Viridiplantae; Streptophyta; Magnoliopsida; Arecales; Arecaceae.
CUCACACAUUUUCAGGGUCGUCAGCUGGAAGUAGCUUGACGAGGCUUUGACGCAGGCAGCUCAGGCUAAGAGCACACAUCGCAGCUACAAAGCAUCAUGUUCGCUAUGGUGACACAGCUCUCCACUCAUCUUGGAGUUAAUUUUUCGAGCAUUCAGGACAUGUUGGCUAGCAUUUCAGUUUCAGCCCCUCCAGCUCCUGCUCCAGUCCCUUCC